This 450-nucleotide ribosomal RNA is filed under the name uncultured bacterium. RNAcentral's name for it is "partial 16S ribosomal RNA". It matches the Rfam family "Bacterial small subunit ribosomal RNA", at positions 354 to 796 of the family's 1533-position model. The record is from RNAcentral.
GUAGGGAAUCUUCCACAAUGGACGAAAGUCUGAUGGAGCAACGCCGCGUGAAUGAAGAAGGUUCUCGGAUCGUAAAACUCUGUUGUGAGGGAAGAACAAGUACCGGAGUAACUGCCGGUACCUUGACGGUACCUCAUUAGAAAGCCACGGCUAACUACGUGCCAGCAGCCGCGGUAAUACGUAGGUGGCAAGCGUUGUCCGGAAUCAUUGGGCGUAAAGCGCGCGCAGGCGGUCCCUUAAGUCUGAUGUGAAAGCCCACGGCUCAACCGUGGAGGGUCAUUGGAAACUGGGGGACUUGAGUGCAGAAGAGGAAAGCGGAAUUCCAAGUGUAGCGGUGAAAUGCGUAGAGAUUUGGAGGAACACCAGUGGCGAAGGCGGCUUUCUGGUCUGUAACUGACGCUGAGGCGCGAAAGCGUGGGGAGCAAACAGGAUUAGAAACCCGAGUAGUCC